MicroRNA precursor from Bison bison bison, 98 nucleotides. The record is from Ensembl. Lineage: Eukaryota; Metazoa; Chordata; Mammalia; Artiodactyla; Bovidae.
GGGCGGGCGGCCGUUAAGACUUGCAGUGAUGUUUAACUCCUCUCCACGUGAACAUCACAGCAAGUCUGUGCUGCUUCCCGUCCCCACGCUGCCUGGGC